GGAAAGAUGGCCGAGUGGCUUAAGGCGCACGCCUGGAAAGCGUGUGGGUGGAAACGCCUCCGGGGUUCGAAUCCCCGUCUUUCCG
Molecule: transfer RNA, 85 nt
Filed under: Oligoflexales bacterium
Lineage: Bacteria; Pseudomonadati; Bdellovibrionota; Oligoflexia; Oligoflexales
Description: tRNA-Ser
Rfam family: tRNA
About the family: Transfer RNA (tRNA) molecules are approximately 80 nucleotides in length. Their secondary structure includes four short double-helical elements and three loops (D, anti-codon, and T loops).
Source: RNAcentral